GAUGAAGAACGUAGCGAAAUGCGAUACUUGGUGUGAAUUGCAGAAUCCCGUGAACCAUCGAGUCUUUGAACGCAAGUUGCGCCCGAAGCCGUCAGGCCGAGGGCACGCCUGCCUGGGCGUCACACGCCGUUGCCCCCCCCCCAGCGCCUCCCUCGGGAGCGUCGGGGGGAGCGGACGAUGGCCUCCCGUGCGACACCCCGUGCGGUUGGCACAAAUGCCGGGUCCUCGGCGACGAACGCCACGACAAUCGGUGGUUGUCAAACCUCGGUUGCCCGUUGUGCGCCUUCGUCGCGCCACGAGCGGCCCGCGAUAGCGAACGGCUCCGUUCCGGCGGAGCUUUCAACGCGACCCCAGGUCAGGCGGGGUUACCCGCUGAGUUUAAGCAUAUCAAUAAGCGGAGGA
RNAcentral lists this unclassified non-coding RNA (402 nucleotides) under soil metagenome. Its description in RNAcentral is "partial contains 5.8S ribosomal RNA, internal transcribed spacer 2, and large subunit ribosomal RNA". The stretch from base 1 to 122 matches the Rfam family "5.8S ribosomal RNA", at positions 35 to 154 of the family's 154-position model. The record is from RNAcentral.